GUGGAAAGAGUAAAUUCUCAUAAACUGUUGGGUGUCUGGCAUCAAAACAAUUUGAAAUGGAACUGUCAUGUUAAGAACAUUGUAAGGAAAGCAAAUAAACGAAUGUUUAGUCUGAGAGAAUGCCGUAGGGCGAAUCUUCCUCGUGAGGUCGGUAUUACAUGUUAUGAAUCCAAGAUUAGACCUGUUUUAGAAUAUGCAGCUCCGAUAUGGGGUGGUUUACCACAAUAUCUCAUUGAUGAAAUAGAGAGCAUUCAAAACAGAUGCAUCAAAAUCCUCGGCACAUCUCGGUGCAACUUUGAAACGCUGGAACAAAGAAGGGCACACCUAACUAUUAAGGAAUACCAAAGAAUUCUAAGUGAUCCGAC
Molecule: non-coding RNA, 365 nt
Organism: Paramuricea clavata
Lineage: Eukaryota; Metazoa; Cnidaria; Anthozoa; Malacalcyonacea; Plexauridae
Source: the annotation of a GenBank genome assembly